This 2231-nucleotide ribosomal RNA is filed under the name Patescibacteria group bacterium. RNAcentral describes it as "partial 23S ribosomal RNA". It matches the Rfam family "Bacterial large subunit ribosomal RNA", at positions 1 to 1982 of the family's 2925-position model. The record is from RNAcentral.
AGAGAGCAGCACAAGGGCGUACGGAGGAUGCCUAGACAUUAGAAGCCGAUGAAGGACGUAGCAGCCUGCGAAAAGCUUCGGGGAGGUGGCAAGCAACCUUUGAUCCGGAGAUUUCCGAAUGGGGAAACCCGGCCGUCUGUUGAGGACGGUCGCUCCACAGGGUGACCUGUGUGAGUGGGAACCCGCUGAAGUGAAACAUCUCAGUAAGCGGAGGAAAAGAAAACAACAUUAGCCAUUAGUUCAGGGUUUUGGUUCGGUCGGUUUGGCUUAGGCCAACAAGACCGGCUGAAACAUAUCCUGGACUACUGGCUUAGAUUCCCUUAGUAGUGGCGAGCGAAAGGGGAACAGCCCAAACCUAUAGCGUGGUGUGGCGUACCGAGCAAGAGUGGCAACAUUUUUGCCGCGGGCGUCUACAUAAAGAUGCCGGUCGUUGCGCUAUAGGUGUUGUACGGAGUCUUCUAGAGGGACCGGUAAUCCCUCGGUGGAGUGAUAAAGAGUGGUACAUAACGGAACAACCUGGAAUGGUUGACCAAAGAAGGUGACAGUCCUGUAUGUAAAAUGUAUCACUCCUUCACUGUAGACUUUCGUGAGUAAUGCGGGACUCGUGAAAUCCCGCAUGAAACAGCGACGACUAUGUCGCAAGGCUAAAUACUUCUGAUGAUCGAUAGUGAACCAGUACCGUGAGGGAAAGGUUAAAAGCAGCCCGGGAGGGCGAUGAAAUAGUAUCUGAAACCGUACGCUUACCAGGAGUUGGAGCCCGCCUUCGGGUGGGUGACAGCGUUCCUAUUGAAGAAUGAGCCAACGAGUUCGAUGUAUGUUGCUUGGUUAAGUCCCCGAGGGGACGAAGCCAGAGUGAAAGCGAGCCUUAACGGGCGUCGCUGACUUUUAUCAAUCGUUGACGAUCGCUUUGCGGUCGGCAGCGAGAUGAAAGUCAGCAGGUAGCAUGCACGAGACCCGAAACCCAGUGAGCUUACCAUGGCCAGGUUGAACCAGGGGUGAAACUCUGGGAAGGACCGAACCCGUUAGUCGUGUAACGCUAUGGGAUGAGCUGUGGUAAGAGGAGAAAUUCCAAUCGAACUGGGUGAUAGCUGGUUCUCCGCGAAAUAGCUUUAGGGCUAGCGUCUGUUUCGAAGCACGUGGGGGUAGAGCACUGAAUGGGAGCACCGGGAGCAAUCUUAGGUCUUCCAACCAAACUCCGAAUACCAUGUGUGGAUUUCAGGCAGUCAGACUAUGGGGGCUAAGCUCCAUCAGUCGCAAGGGAAACAGCCCAGACCUCAGUCUAAGGUCCCUAAGUUUCAGCUAAGUGUGAAAGGUGGUGGAUCGUCUUAUACAACCAGGAGGUUGGCUUAGAAGCAGCCAUCCUUUAAAGAAAGCGUAAUAGCUCACUGGUCAAGAUAAUCUGCGCCGAAAAUUCACCGGGGCUAAGCUGAACACCGAAGUCGAGGACUUCACAGCAAUGUGGAGUGGUAGCGGAGCGUUCUCAUCUGGCAGAAGUCGGACCCGUGAGGGCCGGUGGACGGAUGAGAAGUGAGAAUGUUGGCAUAAGUAGCAAAAAUGUAGGUGAAAAACCUACACGCCGUAAACCCAAGGUUUCCUGGGCAACGAAACUCGUCCCAGGGUUAGUCGGUCCUAAGGCGAGGCCGAAAGGCGUAGUCGAUGGACAGCAGGCUAAUAUUCCUGCACUUCCAUAUGUGUUCGAAGGGGGGACGCAUUUCCCCAUCCUGAGCGAUUUUCGGCUAUUGUCGUCGCGAGGGCGCAAGAAGGUCGGGUUGGUAAAUCCACCGACGGAAUUCAAGCGCUCAGCGGAAGCUGGCCAUAAAUGGCUGGCAAUUCAGGAGUCGGAGGUGCCUAGAAAAGCCUCUAAGAGCUAUCGCAUAUGGGAUCCGUACCGCAAACCAACACAGGUGGGUGGGCAUAAAUGUGCCAAGGCGAACGAGAGAACCCUCGUUUAGGAACUCGGCAAAAAAGUGGCCGUAACUUCGGGAUAAGGCCCGCUCCUUCCUCAGGGAGGAGCCGCAGCAAACGACUGUCAACCGACUGUUUACCAAAAACACAGGUCUCUGCUAAGCCGCAAGGCGAUGUAUAGGGGCUGAUGCCUGGCCAGUGUCAGAACGUUAAGAGGAGGGGUGAACUUUUACUUCGGUAGAAUGUAGCCCUGAAUUGAAGCGCUGAUGAACGCCGGCGGUAACUAUAACCGUCCUAAGGUAGCGAAAUUCCUUGUCGGGUGAAUA